GGAGAGAUGGCAGAGCGGUCGAAUGCGGCGGUCUUGAAAACCGUUGAAGCGCAAGUUUCCGGGGGUUCGAAUCCCUCUCUCUCCGCCG
This 88-nucleotide transfer RNA is filed under the name Chitinophagaceae bacterium. RNAcentral's name for it is "tRNA-Ser". It matches the Rfam family "tRNA". Rfam says of the family: Transfer RNA (tRNA) molecules are approximately 80 nucleotides in length. Their secondary structure includes four short double-helical elements and three loops (D, anti-codon, and T loops). Further hydrogen bonds mediate the characteristic L-shaped molecular structure. tRNAs have two regions of fundamental functional importance: the anti-codon, which is responsible for specific mRNA codon recognition, and the 3' end, to which the tRNAs corresponding amino acid is attached (by aminoacyl-tRNA synthetases). tRNAs cope with the degeneracy of the genetic code in two manners: having more than one tRNA (with a specific anti-codon) for a particular amino acid; and 'wobble' base-pairing, i.e. permitting non-standard base-pairing at the 3rd anti-codon position. The record is from RNAcentral. Lineage: Bacteria; Pseudomonadati; Bacteroidota; Chitinophagia; Chitinophagales; Chitinophagaceae.